Molecule: unclassified non-coding RNA, 2153 nt
Filed under: Cimex lectularius (bed bug)
Lineage: Eukaryota; Metazoa; Arthropoda; Insecta; Hemiptera; Cimicidae
Description: coagulation factor VII-like, transcript variant X6
Source: RNAcentral
GAGUAAAACAUCUGUUGAAAUAUAAAUGCAUAAAUAAAAUAGUAUAUCUAUACGACGAUACAAAUAAAAUUACUUAUACCGCACACCCCACGGCCCACUAGAAAAGUCGAAAAAUUCUAAAAGCGGAAUUAUUUAGGUUUUUAUAACUGUUCGGGUGUGUGUGUCUACAGGAUAAAUGAAACAAUUCAACAAACAGGAUCGCAACUUCGAGCAUUAAUACUUCAUGAUUUAGAGUUUAUUUGCAAAUUAUACACUGACAGGAUCUGUCUCCCUGGAGGAGCUGUUACCCGAAGGAAGCUGCUUCCCGGUGGAUGGACAACAUCCUACUUGACAUCAAAAUGCUGACAUUUGCUUAUUCCCACCAUACAUUAUCAAGUUUAUGAGACCGCUAUAUGCCCAGAAAAGAACAAUGUCGAUGGUGGACAGUAUUAGUCAUUUAUCCGUUGGACAUUUUUUCCUUUUGGACACAAUGGAUUUCCUCGGAAAACGACAAUUCCAAACAAACUAUCUACUGUGAAUCUGAAGAGAGCAAAGAUGAACCGACGACGACUCCAGAGCCCGACAUCGAUGUCGCUUCAUCAAACAACGCGUCUGAACACGACGAUGUAUCAAGUGAAAGUACACCAGUAGCAGAAGGUCUUACUUCAAUUCGCUUGAUUAGGCCCAAAUCCAGAUGUUAUACUGCAGAAGUGGAAGGAGCUUGCUACUCAGGUGAGGACUGCUUCAGAAAAGGUGGUCAAGUGACAACCCCCUGCCUCAAAGAUGGUAUCUCCAUCGUGAAGUCGCAUCUUCACUGUUGUGCUUUCAUACACACGUGCGGAGAUGUCUCAUCGGAAAAAGUGACUUAUUUCCGCUCGCCAGACUAUCCGAGCAAAUCCACAGGUUCGCUCGCUUGCGAUUAUGACCUCAUAGUGCAAAGCACAACUUGCGCGAUAAGGGUUGAUUAUUUAAAAGUGAACUUGGCAAGGAAAUUAGGAGGGGUAUGCGAUAUAGAUCAGUUAUUUAUUCUCAAUUCUGUAGACGGACCGACCGCAGGCCAAUGCGGCCCUCUUUCCGGCUACUCGACGACUGUGGCUGUAAAUCCUGGCCAAUCAAACCCCGUGAAAAUAGCACUGCUUAUCCAAAAUGAAGGGACUUACCACUGGGAUAUCAAAGUCACCCAACUGGCGUGCAAUCAAGUCAAACACUUUAGAAGGCCAAAAUUGUGUGGGGAAGUGAAAAACGAGAUUUUAUCUGGAGUAGCCAGUUCACACGGUUUGGACUGGUAUUUUAACGAUAACAACGUCUGGAAGAAGCCCAACAUACCUCAGCAUACUUGGUGGUCGUAUCCAGAGCCGAUUUUUAACACUUUUUAUUAUGGUUCUACAAAACGUUAUAUGGAACAGGAAAACCAAGGAAAAUUUGCGAAAAGAAGAAUUGUUUCAGGGUCUGAUGCUCAUGUAGGUGAAUUUCCUUGGGUGGUUGCCAUUGGACUCGAUCAAAUGUUUUUUUGCGGAGGAGCCCUUAUUACCGACAGCUUAGUGCUUACUGCCGCUCACUGCUUGAUGGCGCGCGACACGCCAAUAGGGUCACUCGUACUGCAUUUAGGCGAUUUAGACCUGACAAGCCCUAAUGAAACAAACCACGUGCUCAGAGGAGUGAGCAAGGUCAUGUUCCACUCACACUUUCAUCCUUUUCUUCUUGCAAAUGACAUCGCCCUUCUGAGACUCGACCAGCCUGUUGCAUUCACAGACACAAUUCAGCCCGUCUGCCUUCCCGGGCCAAUGCUUUCUCUCUUGUUCCAUCAAUGGUCUUUCAGGGGACGUAUUCACAGGGCAAAAAGGAACAGUCGUAGGAUGGGGAGUAACUUCGUUUCCGAUGGGAGAACCGAGCCCAAUACUGCAAAAAUUGGAUGUUGAAACCAUGUCAAACUUCCAGUGCUCUAGAAUGAUAGACGAGCCUGUUACGCUAGGAAUGAUCUGUGCAGCCCCGAGUAAUCUACAAGGAACGUGUUUUGGGGACAGCGGUGGUCCUCUGACUGUCUUGAGUAAAUCAGGCCGAUACAUUCUGAUCGGUGUUGUGAGCUUCGGAGUAACCGGCUGUGCAGUCAUGCCAGCCUUUCCAGACCUCUACACACGAGUUAGUGAAUAUCUUAAAUGGAUUGAUGUCAACGC